This is a non-coding RNA of Russula aff. rugulosa BPL654, 88 nucleotides long. NCBI's taxonomy places the organism in Eukaryota, Fungi, Basidiomycota, Agaricomycetes, Russulales, Russulaceae. The record is from the annotation of a GenBank genome assembly.
GCCGUCGUGGCGCAAUGGCAGCGCAUCACCUUCCUACAAUUAUAUUGGUGGCAGGUGGGGGUUGCGGGUUCGACCCCCGUCGACGGUA